GGCAGACGGGAGAGUAACACGUGGGAACGUACCUUUCAGUUCGGAACAACCAAGGGAAACUUUGGCUAAUACCGAAUACGCCCGUAAGGGGAAAGAUUUAUCGCUGAAAGAUCGGCCCGCGUCUGAUUAGCUAGUUGGUGGGGUAAUGGCCCACCAAGGCGACGAUCAGUAGCUGGUCUGAGAGGAUGAUCAGCCUCACUGGGACUGAGACACGGCCCAGACUCCUACGGGAGGCAGCAGUGGGGAAUAUUGGACAAUGGGCGCAAGCCUGAUCCAGCCAUGCCGCGUGGAUGAUGAAGGCCUUAGGGUUGUAAAGUCCUUUUAACGGGGAAGAUAAUGACGGUACCCGUAGAAUAAGCCCCGGCUAACUUCGUGCCAGCAGCCGCGGUAAUACGAAGGGGGCUAGCGUUGCUCGGAAUCACUGGGCGUAAAGCGCACGUAGGCGGCUUUCUAAGUCAGGGGUGAAAUCCUGGAGCUCAACUCCAGAACUGCCUUUGAUACUGGAAAGCUUGAGUUCGGGAGAGGUGAGUGGAACUGC
Molecule: ribosomal RNA, 538 nt
Filed under: uncultured Bradyrhizobiaceae bacterium
Lineage: Bacteria; Pseudomonadati; Pseudomonadota; Alphaproteobacteria; Hyphomicrobiales; Nitrobacteraceae
Description: bacterial SSU rRNA
Rfam family: Bacterial small subunit ribosomal RNA
Source: RNAcentral